RNAcentral lists this ribosomal RNA (254 nucleotides) under uncultured bacterium. RNAcentral describes it as "partial 16S ribosomal RNA". It matches the Rfam family "Bacterial small subunit ribosomal RNA", at positions 524 to 776 of the family's 1533-position model. The record is from RNAcentral.
GACGAACCGUCCAAGCGUUAUUCGGAAUCACUGGGCUUAAAGGGCGCGUAGGCGGCCGAGCGGGUCACGGGUGAAAUCCUCCAGCUUAACUGGAGAACUGCCCUUGAUACCACUGCGGCUCGAGGGAGACAGGGGUAAGCGGAACUGAUGGUGGAGCGGUGAAAUGCGUUGAUAUCAGCAGGAACACCGGUGGCGAAAGCGGCUUACUGGGUCGCUUCUGACGCUGAGGUACGAAAGCGAGGGUAGCGAACGGG